Molecule: ribosomal RNA, 467 nt
Filed under: uncultured bacterium
Lineage: Bacteria
Description: bacterial SSU rRNA
Rfam family: Bacterial small subunit ribosomal RNA
Source: RNAcentral
ACGAACGCUAGCGGGGAGCUUCAAACAUGCAAGUCGCACGCGAAAGUGGGGCAACUCACGAGUAGAGUGGCGCACGGGUGCGUAACACGUAACUAACGUACCCCAUCGCUGGGGAUAACUCCGGGAAACCGGAGCUAAUACCGAAUAAUCUGACGGGGUCUGUGGGCUCUGUCGGUAAAGCCGUAAGGCGCGGUGGGACCGGGUUGCGGCCGAUUAGCUAGUUGGUAGGGUAAUGGCCUACCAAGGCAACGAUCGGUAGCUGGUCUGAGAGGAUGAUCAGCCACACUGGAACUGGAACACGGUCCAGACUCCCACGGGAGGCAGCAGUUGGGAAUAUUGGACAAUGGGGGAAACCCUGAUCCAGCUACCCCGCGUGAGUGAUGAAGGCCUUCGGGUCGUAAAGCUCUUUUAGAAGGGACGAAGGGAAACUUGACGGUACCUUCAGAAAAAGCACCGGCUAACUCUGU